Meriones unguiculatus (Mongolian gerbil) is the source of this 695-nucleotide long non-coding RNA. RefSeq lists it as uncharacterized. NCBI's taxonomy places the organism in Eukaryota, Metazoa, Chordata, Mammalia, Rodentia, Muridae. The transcript is spliced from 3 exons. The record is from RefSeq and is a predicted model, not a curated record.
GCUCCUGUAUCCCAAGGGUUCUACGAAGCAGCUGCAACACCAAGCAUGAUGUCAGUGAUAGUAGCCACUGCCUUUAGAAGAAAGGCAGAUGUGCAGUUAGCUACAACUAAAUGUGUAUUCUAAGCCAGUAUGUGCCAAAUACUGGACAUCAGCCAGGGAUGGUGUGCAAGCGGAGUUCCUGAUUUUGCGGGGCUGACGGAGCCUCGUGCUUCUGUACCAAGCAAGCAUCAGCUCUACACCAUGUCUACACAGCAAUUUCCUGCUACUGUGCCCAGUGCCAGUGAUGUCUGCCUGAGCUGUUUACAAUCAUACGUUUAGUACCUGAAACAACCUACUAUGGAAAACAAGGAGGAAGCUACAGAAUAUGCUGAACUUUUGGCUAAGAGGAUGAAGGAAGCCAAAGAAAAGCACUGAGAAUAGAUCACCAGGAGAUGCGGGCUGUUCUCGGCGAGACCUUUCGCUUCUGAGUCCAGUCAAAGAAUUAUUACAGCUUAAAAAAUCCACUCCAUAAGUACCCACUGGACAGCCCUUAGGUGCCAGAUACCAGUGAAACAGCAUUUUGUGAACUGAUGUCUCUGCUACUCUCUUCCCUGCGUAGUGGCCCUGACAUCGCUCAACUCUCAUCCUGUUUCCUGUCUUGUUUCUUUGCCUUUUGAGGAGGUAAGUACAGCUCACUACCACCAUUGAUAAACAGA